GCGCUCGUAGCUCAGCUGGAUAGAGUAUCUGGCUACGAACCAGGCGGUCAGAGGUUCGAAUCCUCUCGAGCGCGCCA
Molecule: transfer RNA, 77 nt
Filed under: Vibrio vulnificus
Lineage: Bacteria; Pseudomonadati; Pseudomonadota; Gammaproteobacteria; Vibrionales; Vibrionaceae
Description: tRNA-Arg
Rfam family: tRNA
About the family: Transfer RNA (tRNA) molecules are approximately 80 nucleotides in length.
Source: RNAcentral